GGUCAAAGGCCUGUAUUCUCUGAAACCUUGUUUUACACGACUCCUCUGUUCCUGGAAGUACUCACUGAAAUUUGUGGCAACCUUGGGGAUCUUCUCUGGCUUUGAACAGCCAUGCUACUCUGUUGCCAAAAAUCAAGUAAAGCGAAUGUGCAUAUUUAUUCUCCUCUUGAGUUUGAAGAAGGUGGUAGCUUCGUAUAGUGCCUGAAGGCAAAGAGAUAAAUGCAAAUUCAGACUCGUAUUAGAAUAAUACUGUUAGCUGCGUAGACCUUGC
Egretta garzetta (little egret) is the source of this 271-nucleotide long non-coding RNA. RefSeq lists it as uncharacterized. NCBI's taxonomy places the organism in Eukaryota, Metazoa, Chordata, Aves, Pelecaniformes, Ardeidae. The transcript is spliced from 3 exons. The record is from RefSeq and is a predicted model, not a curated record.